This 307-nucleotide unclassified non-coding RNA is filed under the name Hevea brasiliensis (rubber tree). Lineage: Eukaryota; Viridiplantae; Streptophyta; Magnoliopsida; Malpighiales; Euphorbiaceae. The record is from RNAcentral.
GCCACCAUUGUUUGUGAAUUGAAAUGGAUUUCGUGCUUGCUUGCUAAUUUCAACAUUCCUUUGCAACUUCUUGUUGAACUUCAUUAUUAUAACCAAGCAGAAUCCACAUAGAAGCCAACCCCGAGUUCUAUGAAAGAAUAAAACAUUUAGAGAUGACUGUCAUGUGGUUUGUGAUGAAGUUUCUGAAGGUUUUACUUCCACAGUUAAAGUUGCUUCUAAGGAAUAGAUCGCAGAUGUCUUCACAAAAGCCCCUUUCCAUUUUUAUUUUUCAUUCUCUUAUGUCCAAGCCAUGGACUUUCACCAAUCA